This is a long non-coding RNA of Monopterus albus (swamp eel), 551 nucleotides long. RefSeq lists it as uncharacterized. The transcript has 4 exons. Lineage: Eukaryota; Metazoa; Chordata; Actinopteri; Synbranchiformes; Synbranchidae. The record is from RefSeq and is a predicted model, not a curated record.
GGGAUGUGCUGGCUGAAGCAAAGUGUAGGAGAAGGGAAAAUGGGGUGGAUGUGAGGGAAGGGGGUGUACUGUGGGCAUCCUUGAGGUAUCUGUGAGCUGAGGUGUCUUCCAGAAAUAGUUGAAGCCAGUGGCUGUCUUGAAGGUGACAGCGGGGAUCUAAUGACCCCUGGCUUCCCUGGGCAGAACUACCAGAACGCAGCAUUAUACCAGAUCCACAUCCUGCUCAUCUAAACAGUUCUUGAAGGAUAUCUGUGCCCUAUGGAUUCUUAAACUGCAAAUGACUGAAAUGGCCAUCACGGGACAGACUGGACACUGCAAAGAGGAUAAACUGGUUGUUUCAGAUGAUUAAAGCAUUCUAGGCACACACUGUGGCGCCAUUCUUACCCCAGUGCUGGUCAGUGCUAGUGGCACAAAAUCUGUCACCUCCUAGUCUGACAGUUGCCUCGCAGGCCAAGAAUUCUCCGUCAUGUGGGAGACUGUGUAUCCUGAGGAUAUUGCAGGUAUGGUGAUGAGUUGUAGCGUUGGCACAUGUGCCUUGGCAAACAACCUGA